Molecule: ribosomal RNA, 253 nt
Filed under: uncultured bacterium
Lineage: Bacteria
Description: partial 16S ribosomal RNA
Rfam family: Bacterial small subunit ribosomal RNA
Source: RNAcentral
UCCGUAGGGGGCAAGCGUUGUCCGGAAUCAUUGGGCGUAAAGCGCGUGUAGGCGGUUCGGUAAGUCGGCUGUGAAAGUCCAGGGCUCAACCCUGGGAUGCCGGUCGAUACUGCCGGACUAGAGUUCGGAAGAGGCGAGUGGAAUUCCCGGUGUAGCGGUGAAAUGCGCAGAUAUCGGGAGGAACACCAAUGGCGAAGGCAGCUCGCUGGGACGUUACUGACGCUGAGACGCGAAAGCGUGGGGAGCAAACAGG